Molecule: ribosomal RNA, 951 nt
Filed under: Pseudomonas sp. N-R3-B
Lineage: Bacteria; Pseudomonadati; Pseudomonadota; Gammaproteobacteria; Pseudomonadales; Pseudomonadaceae
Description: bacterial SSU rRNA
Rfam family: Bacterial small subunit ribosomal RNA
Source: RNAcentral
UUCGAAUAUUACUGGGGGCGUAAAAGGCGCGCGUAGGGUGUUUCAGUUAAGGUGGGAUGUAAAAUCCCAGGGCUCAACCGGGGGAAGUUGCAUCCAAAAUCUGGCGAGCUAGAGUAUGGUAGAGGGGUGGGUGAAAUUUCGUGUGUAGCGGUGAAAUGCGUAGAUAUAGGAGAGGAACACCAGUGGGGAGGGCGACCACCUGGCCUGAUAUUGACAGUGAGGGUGUGAAAGUGUGGGGGAGCAAACAGGAUUAGAUACCAUGGUAGUCCACGCUGUAAACGAUGUCAACUAUCCGUUGGGAGCCUUGAGCUCUUAGUGGCGCAGUUAACGCAUUAAGUUGUCCGCUUGGGGAGUACGGCCGCAAGGUUAAAACUCAAAUGAAUUGACGGGGGCCGGCACAAGCGGUGGAUCAUGUGGUUUAAUUGGAAGCAACCAGAAUACCCUUACCAGGCGUUGACAUCCAAUGAACUUUCCAGAGAUGGAUUGGGGCUUUCGGGAACAUUGAGACGGGUGCUGCAUGGCUGUGGUCAGCUAGGGUCUUGAGAUUUUGGGUUAAGUCCCGUAACGAGCGCAACCGUGGCCUUCCGUUACAUCCAAUCAUGGUUGGUCCCCAUAAGGAGACACCUGAGGACAAACCGGAGGAAGGGGGGUAGCCUUCCAAGUCAUCAUGCCCUUUACGACCUGGGCAUCUCACCGGUACCCAGGGAAGGCCACAAGGCUUUACCAGACUCUAGGUGGACCUAUUCCCAUGCAGUUCCCAGGUUUAGCCCGGGCAUUUCACAACCAACUUAACGAACCACGGACGCGCGCGUAACGCCCAGUAAUUCCGAUGCGGGGAAUCCGCUUCCGGGCCUUGUCCACUCCUCCCGUCACACCAUGGGAGUGGGAUGCACCAGAAGCAUCUAGUCUAACCUUGGGGAGGACGCUUACCCAUCGCUGUGCAACAUGAAC